GCGGGGGCUGGUUCCUGGUCCCCGGGAGAAGCCAAGAAGAUUCCCUGCAGCCUGCCAGGGACGUGGUAGCUGCCCUGCCAAGAGCUAUCCUGGGAGGGCUAUUGAAAGAGCUUUGAGCACUUGAGCGGCUCUGCACCCAGCAUUUGGAUGGAGAAAGGGAUAGACAAGAAAGCCAAGUGUCUACCGACAGAAGAGGAUUCAGGAAUGCUUGCAGCAAGAGUCCUGGUUGCCAUGCAGUGGCAUUCGAAACGACCGCAGCUCUGCAUUCCAUCUUUGAUAAAAAUAAGUUGCUACUUCUAAACAAAACUGCCUAGUUGGUUUCUGGCCAAGCUGGGACCUCGAACUGCAAAUCGCGGGUGAAGGUGGAAAAACAAAGUUUUAAGCAUUGGCUCAUAGCAGACUGUAAUGCUUUCUGCUUCCCCCCAGCCCUUUGGAAAACUUGACCACAGCCAGUGGGACCAAGGGAAUGUGCGCUUUUCUAAUGGGCCCAAAAAGAGGAUGGUUGCCAGGAAAGCCUUUCCCAUGGGGCGGGGGCA
Balaenoptera musculus (blue whale) is the source of this 536-nucleotide long non-coding RNA. RefSeq lists it as uncharacterized. The transcript is spliced from 3 exons. The record is from RefSeq and is a predicted model, not a curated record. Lineage: Eukaryota; Metazoa; Chordata; Mammalia; Artiodactyla; Balaenopteridae.